This 85-nucleotide transfer RNA is filed under the name Felis catus (domestic cat). It matches the Rfam family "tRNA". From Rfam's summary of the family: Transfer RNA (tRNA) molecules are approximately 80 nucleotides in length. Their secondary structure includes four short double-helical elements and three loops (D, anti-codon, and T loops). The record is from Rfam by way of RNAcentral. Lineage: Eukaryota; Metazoa; Chordata; Mammalia; Carnivora; Felidae.
GCCUGGGUGGCUCAGUCGGUUAAGCGUCUGACUUCGGCUCAGGUCAUGAUCUCACAGUUGGUGGGUUCGAGCCCCACAUUGGGCU